RNAcentral lists this ribosomal RNA (764 nucleotides) under uncultured marine bacterium. RNAcentral's name for it is "bacterial SSU rRNA". It matches the Rfam family "Bacterial small subunit ribosomal RNA", at positions 57 to 818 of the family's 1533-position model. The record is from RNAcentral.
GCAAGUCGAGCGAGAAAGUACUUCGGUACGAGUACAGCGGCGGACGGGUGAGUAACGCGUAGGAAUCUACCUAGUAGUGGGGGACAACUCGUGGAAACGCGAGCUAAUACCGCAUACGCCCUACGGGGGAAAGCGGGGGAUCUUCGGACCUCGCGCUAUUAGAUGAGCCUGCGUAAGAUUAGCUAGUUGGUGGGGUAAAAGCCUACCAAGGCGACGAUCUUUAGCUGGUCUGAGAGGAUGAUCAGCCACACCGGGACUGAGACACGGCCCGGACUCCUACGGGAGGCAGCAGUCGGGAAUAUUGCGCGAUGGGCGAAAGCCUGACGCAGCCAUGCCGCGUGUGUGAGGAAGGCCCUAGGGUUGUAAAGCACUUUCAAUUGGGAGGAAAAGCUAAUGGUUAAUAGCUAUUAGCCCUGACGUUACCUUUAGAAGAAGCACCGGCUAACUCCGUGCCAGCAGCCGCGGUAAUACGGAGGGUGCAAGCGUUAAUCGGAAUUACUGGGCGUAAAGCGCGCGUAGGCGGCUCUUUAAGUCGGAUGUGAAAGCCCCGGGCUCAACCUGGGAAACUGCAUCCGAUACUGGGGGGCUAGAGUGUAGGAGAGGGAGGUAGAAAUCCAUGUGUAGCAGUGAAAUGCCGUAAAUAUAUGGAGGAAUACAGUGGCGAAGGCGGCCUCCUGGCUUAACACUGACGCUGAGGUGCGAAAGCGUGGGGAGCAAACGGGAUUAGAUACCCCGGUAGUCCACGCCGUAAACGAUGUCUACUA